Molecule: long non-coding RNA, 302 nt
Filed under: Elaeis guineensis (African oil palm)
Lineage: Eukaryota; Viridiplantae; Streptophyta; Magnoliopsida; Arecales; Arecaceae
Description: long non-coding RNA (EGUI_LNC005380)
Source: RNAcentral
AGAUAAAUUGAGCAUAAGCAGGAUAAGAAGUGAUAUACCGAAAUCUCUUACCGUCAAACGUAAAACAAAUUGGGGCUCAUGAUUGCUGAUUUUAUCAUCUACAUGGAACCCAAGUUGAUGAUAUUUCAUUUUCCCUUUUCUAUUCUUAGUUCUUAUGUUUAUUUGUGGUGACCAACUUGGCAUCCUUAGUAGCAUGUUUAUUUUUUAUUUAUUUUUGAUGACGUCCAUAUGGAACAAUAACCUUCAAAUAGUAAACUAGCCUACUGUAGAAAUUGCAUUAGAAGGAUCCUGUAGACAUGGCA